UACGUAGGGGGCAAGCGUUGUCCGGAAUCAUUGGGCGUAAAGCGCGUGUAGGCGGUUCGAUAAGUCUGCUGUGAAAGUCCAGGGCUCAACCCUGGAAAGCCGGUGGAUACUGUCGGACUAAAGUGCGGAAGAGGCGAGUGGAAUUCCCGGUGUAGCGGUGAAAUGCGCAGAUAUCGGGAGGAACACCAAUUGCGAAGGCAGCUCGCUGGGACGUUACUGACGCUGAGACGCGAAAGCGUGGGGAGCAAACAGG
RNAcentral lists this ribosomal RNA (253 nucleotides) under uncultured bacterium. Its description in RNAcentral is "partial 16S ribosomal RNA". It matches the Rfam family "Bacterial small subunit ribosomal RNA", at positions 524 to 776 of the family's 1533-position model. The record is from RNAcentral.